This is a non-coding RNA of Pelobates cultripes (western spadefoot toad), 70 nucleotides long. NCBI's taxonomy places the organism in Eukaryota, Metazoa, Chordata, Amphibia, Anura, Pelobatidae. The record is from the annotation of a GenBank genome assembly.
UAAGCAUGAUGAUUUCCACUUCUGGUCCGUGUUUCUGAAAUUUAGUGAUUAUAGUGGAAGUUCUGACUUU